This 727-nucleotide ribosomal RNA is filed under the name Exiguobacterium sp. NEAU-ST5-19. RNAcentral describes it as "bacterial SSU rRNA". It matches the Rfam family "Bacterial small subunit ribosomal RNA", at positions 56 to 755 of the family's 1533-position model. The record is from RNAcentral. Lineage: Bacteria; Bacillati; Bacillota; Bacilli; Caryophanales.
UGCAGUCGAGCGCAGGAAGUCGACGGAACCCUUCGGGGGGAAGUCGAUGGAAUGAGCGGCGGACGGGUGAGUAACACGUAAAGAACCUGCCCUCAGGUCUGGGAUAACCACGAGAAAUCGGGGCUAAUACCGGAUGGGUCAUCGGACCGCAUGGUCCGAGGAUGAAAGGCGCUCCGGCGUCGCCUGGGGAUGGCUUUGCGGUGCAUUAGCUAGUUGGUGGGGUAAUGGCCCACCAAGGCGACGAUGCAUAGCCGACCUGAGAGGGUGAUCGGCCACACUGGGACUGAGACACGGCCCAGACUCCUACGGGAGGCAGCAGUAGGGAAUCUUCCACAAUGGACGAAAGUCUGAUGGAGCAACGCCGCGUGAACGAUGAAGGCCCUCGGGUCGUAAAGUUCUGUUGUAAGGGAAGAACAAGUGCCGCAGGCAAUGGCGGCACCUUGACGGUACCUUGCGAGAAAGCCACGGCUAACUACGUGCCAGCAGCCGCGGUAAUACGUAGGUGGCAAGCGUUGUCCGGAAUUAUUGGGCGUAAAGCGCGCGCAGGCGGCCUCUUAAGUCUGAUGUGAAAGCCCCCGGCUCAACCGGGGAGGGCCAUUGGAAACUGGGAGGCUUGAGUAUAGGAGAGAAGAGUGGAAUUCCACGUGUAGCGGUGAAAUGCGUAGAGAUGUGGAGGAACACCAGUGGCGAAGGCGACUCUUUGGCCUAUAACUGACGCUGAGGCGCG